This 481-nucleotide long non-coding RNA is filed under the name Capsicum annuum. RNAcentral's name for it is "long non-coding RNA (CANN_LNC003225)". Lineage: Eukaryota; Viridiplantae; Streptophyta; Magnoliopsida; Solanales; Solanaceae. The record is from RNAcentral.
AUCGUCAAUGAUCAUUGUUGAAAUGAAACCUUGCAAGUGUUUCUUUGAUUAACAAGAAUAUUUACCAAGCCAUAGUGAAUACAGAAACGAUCAGAAAGUGAUUCAACAGCACCAAAAGCCCAACAAGAACCGCAAUGUCCCUGAAAUAUAUAGGAUAAGACCAGUAAAGAACCUGGAAAGGACAUCUAGCAUUAUUUUUAAGAGGACGAAGGAAAAGAGAGAGAUUAGUUAGCAAGCAAGAGCCGUCACCUGAUCUGCAAUGUAAAAUAUGGAAAACAUCAGCAUUCUUCUAAUUCAGAAUAUAUCAUUGAAGGACCAAACGAUAAGAUGCAGGAACUGACCAAGAAUUCUUCCAAUUGUGCGGCAUUGAGGCCAAGCCUUUCGUGCAUCAAACUCUUUUGGCAACUCCUUGAACUUUGGAUGAGUUAGAACAGGAAUUCCCUCCAAAUCACCUUCUCUUGGGGGCUUAACUCCGAGUAGG